Molecule: ribosomal RNA, 253 nt
Filed under: uncultured bacterium
Lineage: Bacteria
Description: partial 16S ribosomal RNA
Rfam family: Bacterial small subunit ribosomal RNA
Source: RNAcentral
UACAGAGGGUGCAAGCGUUAUUCGGAAUCACUGGGCGUAAAGGGCGUGUAGGUGGUUUCGCAAGUCUGGUGUGAAAGCCCCGAACUUAAUUCGGGAAGUGCAUUGGAUACUGCGAGACUUGAGUAUGGGAGAGGAAAGCGGAAUUCCAGGUGUAGAGGUGAAAUUCGUAGAUAUCUGGAGGAACAACGGUGGCGAAGGCGGCUUUCUGGACCAUUACUGACACUGAGGCGCGACAGCGUGGGGAGCAAACAGG